RNAcentral lists this ribosomal RNA (444 nucleotides) under uncultured bacterium. RNAcentral's name for it is "bacterial SSU rRNA". It matches the Rfam family "Bacterial small subunit ribosomal RNA", at positions 355 to 796 of the family's 1533-position model. The record is from RNAcentral.
UAAGGAAUAUUGGUCAAUGGGCGGAAGCCUGAACCAGCCAUGCCGCGUGCAGGAUGACUGCCCUAUGGGUUGUAAACUGCUUUUGUCCAGGAAUAAACCUUUCUACGUGUAGGAAGCUGAAUGUACUGGAAGAAUAAGGAUCGGCUAACUCCGUGCCAGCAGCCGCGGUAAUACGGAGGAUCCGAGCGUUAUCCGGAUUUAUUGGGUUUAAAGGGUGCGUAGGCGGCCUAUUAAGUCAGGGGUGAAAUACGGUGGCUCAACCAUCGCAGUGCCUUUGAUACUGAUGGGCUUGAAUCCAUUUGAAGUGGGCGGAAUAAGACAAGUAGCGGUGAAAUGCAUAGAUAUGUCUUAGAACUCCGAUUGCGAAGGCAGCUCACUAAGCUGGUAUUGACGCUGAUGCACGAAAGCGUGGGGAUCGAACAGGAUUAGAUACCCCCGUAGUCC